Molecule: ribosomal RNA, 1519 nt
Filed under: uncultured delta proteobacterium HF0200_14D13
Lineage: Bacteria; Deltaproteobacteria
Description: 16S ribosomal RNA
Rfam family: Bacterial small subunit ribosomal RNA
Source: RNAcentral
UUUUGUACGAGAGUUUGAUCCUGGCUCAGGACGAACGCUGGCGGCACGCCUAACACAUGCAAGUCGAGCGCGAAAGGCACUUCGGUGCCGAGUAGAGCGGCGCACGGGUGAGUAACGCGUGGCCAACCCGCCCCCGGGACCGGGACAACCCCCCGAAAGGGGGGCUAAUACCGGAUGACACCCAGGCCGCAGGGCCGGGGUUGAAAGCUCCGGCGCCCGGGGAGGGGGCCGCGUCCCAUCAGCUGGCCGGUGAGGUGAAGGCUCACCGGGGCGACGACGGGUAGCGGGUCUGAGAGGACGGUCCGCCACACUGGCACUGAGACACGGGCCAGACUCCUGCGGGAGGCAGCAGUGGGGAAUCUUGCGCAAUGGGCGCAAGCCUGACGCAGCGAUGCCGCGUGGGUGAAGAAGGCCCUCGGGUCGUAAAGCCCUUUUGGCGGGGAGGAUGAUGACGUCACCCGCCGAAUAAGCGCCGGCUAACUACGUGCCAGCAGCCGCGGUAACACGUAGGGCGCGAGCGUUGUCCGGAAUCACUGGGCGUAAAGGGCGCGCAGGUGGGUCCGCAAGCGGGGGGUGAAAGGCCGGGGCUCAACCCCGGGACUGCUCACCGAACUGCGGGCCUCGAGGGGGUCAGGGGCCAGCGGAAUUCCGGGUGGAGAGGUGAAAUUCGUAGAGAUCCGGAGGAACGCCGGCGGCGAAAGCGGCUGGCUGGGGCCGCCCUGACACUGAGGCGCGAGAGCGUGGGGAGCGAACAGGAUUAGAUACCCUGGUAGUCCACGCCGUAAACGAUGGGCACCGGGCGUCCGGGGGGCCGACCCCCCUGGGCGCCGCAGCAAACGCGAUGAGUGCCCCGCCUGGGGAGUACGGCCGCAAGGCUAAAACUCAAAGGAAUUGACGGGGGCCCGCACAAGCGGUGGAACAUGUGGUUUAAUUCGAGGCAACGCGAAGAACCUUACCUGGGCUUGACAUCCCCGGGCCGCCCCGGAGACGGGGCUUCCCCUUCGGGGGCCGGGUGACAGGUGCUGCAUGGCUGUCGUCAGCUCGUGUCGUGAGAUGUUGGGUUAAGUCCCGCAACGAGCGCAACCCCCGUCCUCAGUUGCCAGCGGCUCGGCCGGGCACUCUGGGGAGACUGCCGGUGACAAGCCGGAGGAAGGCGGGGACGACGUCAAGUCAUCAUGGCCCUCAUGCCCAGGGCUACACACGUGUUACAAUGGGGGCGACAGCGGGCCGCGAAGCCGCGAGGCGGAGCGAAUCCCCAAAAGCCCCCCCAGUUCGGAUCGCAGUCUGCAACCCGACUGCGUGAAGCCGGAAUCGCUAGUAAUCGCGGAUCAGCACGCCGCGGUGAAUCCGUUCCCGGGCCUUGUACACACCGCCCGUCACACCAUGGGAGUCGGCGGGGGCGGAAGCCGCCGGGCCAACCCCUUCGGGGGGGGCAGGCGUCCAAGCUCACGUCGGCGACUGGGGUGAAGUCGUAACAAGGUAGCCGUAGGAGAACCUGCGGCUGGACCACCUCCUUUCU